Molecule: transfer RNA, 66 nt
Filed under: Eoneureclipsis hainanensis
Lineage: Eukaryota; Metazoa; Arthropoda; Insecta; Trichoptera; Psychomyiidae
Description: tRNA-Met
Source: RNAcentral
UUAAAAAUAAGCUAAAAUAAGCUAGUGAACUCAUACUUCAUUUAUAAAGAAAAUCUUUUUUUUAAA